This 91-nucleotide transfer RNA is filed under the name bacterium. Its description in RNAcentral is "tRNA-Sec". It matches the Rfam family "Selenocysteine transfer RNA". The record is from RNAcentral.
GGAAGAGUGACGCUCCCGGUGGGGUGCCUGGUCUUCAAAACCAGUGAGGCGCUUAAGCAGUGCCUGGUGGGUUCGACUCCUACCUCUUCCG